GAUGAACGCUGGCGGCGUGCCUAAUACAUGCCAGUCGAGCGAACAGACGAGGAGCUUGCUCCUCUGACGUUAGCGGCGGACGGGUGAGUAACACGUGGAUAACCUACCUAUAAGACUGGGAUAACUUCGGGAAACCGGAGCUAAUACCGGAUAAUAUAUUGAACCGCAUGGUUCAAUAGUGAAAGACGGUUUUGCUGUCACUUAUAGAUGGAUCCGCGCCGCAUUAGCUAGUUGGUAAGGUAACGGCUUACCAAGGCGACGAUGCGUAGCCGACCUGAGAGGGUGAUCGGCCACACUGGAACUGAGACACGGUCCAGACUCCUACGGGAGGCAGCAGUAGGGAAUCUUCCGCAAUGGGCGAAAGCCUGACGGAGCAACGCCGCGUGAGUGAUGAAGGUCUUCGGAUCGUAAAGCUCUGUUAGUAGGGAAGAACAAAUGUGUAAGUAACUAUGCACGUCUUGACGGUACCUAAUCAGAAAGCCACGGCUAACUACGUG
This 497-nucleotide ribosomal RNA is filed under the name uncultured bacterium. Its description in RNAcentral is "partial 16S ribosomal RNA". It matches the Rfam family "Bacterial small subunit ribosomal RNA", at positions 28 to 507 of the family's 1533-position model. The record is from RNAcentral.